AGUGAACGCUGGCGGUAGGCCUAACACAUGCAAGUCGAACGGCAGCACACUAAGAGCUUGCUCUUACGGGUGGCGGGUGGCGUACGGGUGAGGAAUACAUCGGAAUCUACUUUUUCAUUGGGGAUAACGGAGGGAAACUUACGCUAAUACCUCAUACGACCUACGGGUGAAAGCAGGGGAUCUUCGGACCUUGCGCGAUUGAAUGAGCCGAUGUCGGAUUAGCUAGUUGGCGGGGUAAAGGCCCACCAAGGCGACGAUCCGUAGCUGGUCUGAGAGGACGAUCAGCCACACUGGAACUGAGACACGGCCCAGACUCCUACGGGAGGCAGCAGUGGGGAAUAUUGGACAAUGGGCGCAAGCCUGAUCCAGCCAUACCGCGUGGGGGAAGAAGGCCUUCGGGUUGUAAAGCCCUUUUGUUGGGAAAGAAAAGCAGCAGGUUAAUACCCCGCUGUUCUGACGGUACCCAAAGAAUAAGCACCGGCUAACUUCGUG
RNAcentral lists this ribosomal RNA (492 nucleotides) under uncultured bacterium. RNAcentral describes it as "partial 16S ribosomal RNA". It matches the Rfam family "Bacterial small subunit ribosomal RNA", at positions 29 to 507 of the family's 1533-position model. The record is from RNAcentral.